Molecule: transfer RNA, 66 nt
Filed under: Rugitermes flavicinctus
Lineage: Eukaryota; Metazoa; Arthropoda; Insecta; Blattodea; Kalotermitidae
Description: tRNA-Arg
Source: RNAcentral
AAGUAAGAAGUGAAUAAUUACAGUUAGUUUCGACCUAAUACAUGGUAUAAUAAUUACCCUUACUUU